RNAcentral lists this ribosomal RNA (226 nucleotides) under uncultured bacterium. RNAcentral describes it as "partial 16S ribosomal RNA". It matches the Rfam family "Bacterial small subunit ribosomal RNA", at positions 96 to 334 of the family's 1533-position model. The record is from RNAcentral.
CGGCGCACGGGUGAGUAACACGUGGAUGAUCUGCCUCCGAGUGGGGAAUAACUCUGGGAAACCGGAGCUAAGACCGCAUACGCCUGCAAAGGGAAAGCGCGCAAGCGCGCUCGGAGAGGAGUCCGCGGCCGAUUAGCUAGUUGGUGAGGUAACGGCUUACCAAGGCUACGAUCUGUAUCCGACCUGAGAGGGUGGUCGGACACACUGACACUGAAUAACGGGUCAG